UUGCACUCUGGCGGCAGGCCUCACACAUGCCAGUCGAACGGUAACAGGAAGCAGCUUGCUGCUUUGCUGACGAGUGGCGGACGGGUGAGUAAUGUCUGGGAAACUGCCUGAUGGAGGGGGAUAACUACUGGAAACGGUAGCUAAUACCGCAUAACGUCGCAAGACCAAAGAGGGGGACCUUCGGGCCUCUUGCCAUCGGAUGUGCCCAGAUGGGAUUAGCUAGUAGGUGGGGUAAAGGCUCACCUAGGCGACGAUCCCUAGCUGGUCUGAGAGGAUGACCAGCCACACUGGAACUGAGACACGGUCCAGACUCCUACGGGAGGCAGCAGUGGGGAAUAUUGCACAAUGGGCGCAAGCCUGAUGCAGCCAUGCCGCGUGUAUGAAGAAGGCCUUCGGGUUGUAAAGUACUUUCAGCGGGGAGGAAGGGAGUAAAGUUAAUACCUUUGCUCAUUGACGUUACCCGCAGAAGAAGCACCGGCUAACUCCGUG
RNAcentral lists this ribosomal RNA (489 nucleotides) under uncultured bacterium. Its description in RNAcentral is "partial 16S ribosomal RNA". It matches the Rfam family "Bacterial small subunit ribosomal RNA", at positions 30 to 507 of the family's 1533-position model. The record is from RNAcentral.